UGGAAUAUAGCCAAGCUGGUAAGGCCUUCGUUUUUGGUACGAAUAUACAAAGGUUCGAACCCUUUUAUUCCAA
Molecule: transfer RNA, 73 nt
Filed under: Thalassiosira rotula
Lineage: Eukaryota; Bacillariophyta; Thalassiosirophyceae; Thalassiosirales; Thalassiosiraceae
Description: tRNA-Gln
Rfam family: tRNA
About the family: Transfer RNA (tRNA) molecules are approximately 80 nucleotides in length.
Source: RNAcentral